Molecule: ribosomal RNA, 402 nt
Filed under: bacterium
Lineage: Bacteria
Description: partial 16S ribosomal RNA
Rfam family: Bacterial small subunit ribosomal RNA
Source: RNAcentral
UGGGGAAUUUUGCACAAUGGGGGAAACCCUGAUGCAGCGACGCCGCGUGAUUUAGAAGGCCUUCGGGUUGUAAAAAUCUUUUCUAUGGGAAGAAAAUGACAGUACCAUAGGAAUAAGUACCGGCUAAUUACGUGCCAGCAGCCGCGGUAAUACGUAAGGUCCGAGCGUUGUCCGGAAUCAUUGGGCGUAAAGGGUACGUAGGCGGGUAAGCAAGUUAGAAGUGAAAUCCUAUAGCUCAACUAUAGUAAGCUUUUAAAACUGCUCAUCUUGAUGUAUGGAAGGGAAAGUGGAAUUCCUAGUGUAGCGGUGAAAUGCGCAGAUAGUAGGAGGAAUACCGGUGGCGAAGGCGACUUUCUGGCCAUAACCUGACGCUGAGGUACGAAAGCGUGCGUAGCAAACAGG